AUCUCACAAGUAUAGGAAAAGAGUAGGAGAUCCAUUUUUAUUUAGAAAAGUAAUCAAGAAAGGUAUUUUGGCUGCUACAGUUUAUCCUGUUCCCUAUUUUUGCAAUGGGGUUCUUUGAACUUUGAUAAGAAGGAAGCAUUUAUAAAGUAUCGAAUGAGAAAGUUCACAAAUAGAUUCAUAGCUGGAAUAAAAUGUAUUAUUUAAAUUCAGAAACUGAUCUUAAAAUUUAUAUUAGCUAGAAUAGUCAUACAGUGUUCCUCUUGAUUGGUGUACCAUGUAGAGGUCUCUAUGGGUCAAAAGGUGGCUGUGACCCAUGCUAUGUAAGACCUGGCCUUCUAUUUUCCCCUUGUGCCUUGUAUGUUUCCUUUUUGAACCACAAACUCAAAACUCAAAGAGCUAAUUCAUGCCAUUUUCUCAGAACUUAUGCUUGAUUUUUUUUUUUUUGCAAAUUCCUAGCCAUAGUUUUGUUUAAAUAACAAGUUUUGUUUAAAUAACAAGGAGCCACUCAAAAUACAGAGAAUCAAUGAAAUAACAGGGAAAAUGCUUUAGCAGAGAAGCAACAAGAUGCCUUUUGCAAGCUGUGUUCCUAGGACAGGUUCUUCAGGCUCUCUAUAUGAGUGAUCAUUUCUGGACACCACAGGGUCUUCUCUAGUCUCAGAGGACAGUAUUCAAAUUCUUACCAAAAUGCUUCCAUGUUUCAAGUCAGAAAAAAGGUGGGUAACACUUAGAUGGUAUUUAUACUUUCUGUAAGUUAUGCAGAAUAUUUCAGAAGUGUGAAGGAUUGAUGAAAGUGUGAGAUCUCACAUGAAACCUGAUUCUCAGGCCCAUCGUCCAUCACAGCAAUAGCUAGCUAGAGGUAACACUUUCCAAGUUAAGAUUUAAAGUCCAGCCUUCCCUAACCCAACUUUUUUUUUUACAAUAUCUACUUUAUUUGUUACUAUUCAGCAUCCAGUAGUCAUCUAUCACCUUUUAAUUACAAUCUGUGAGUUGCAGGAAGUAAGGAUUCAUUUUAACAUUCUCAUACACAUAUUUCAUGUGCUUGUACAGUGUCCAGCCCUCAUUAGUGUCUCUUCUGUCUCUCCUUGCUUGUUCUCUUGCUCUUCACAAGUAUUCCCACUUCCAAUUCCAUGUCUUUUUUUUUAUCUAAUCCAGAUUCCAAAUAUAAGAGAAAAUGUGAUGUUUGUCUUUCUAUGCAUGUAACUUUGCCCACUCACAUACUACGUGAAUCUGUAUAGGGUAUAAAUACACUAGGAAAAGUAUUUCCUGAAAUUAUUUCCAAGCAGUCUCUGCCACUAAUAAUUGAGCUUGCUGUAAGUUAGAUAAAUUGUUGCAUUUAUAAGUAAAAAGAGUUCUUCAGAUCCUAAAAACACCUAUGAACACUUGAUCAUCUCACCUGAAUGUUCAUUUGUAAUAUUCAUUAACUAGCGACCCAUUCUCUUAAUAUGCCUUCCUUCUCUGAAUAGGCCAACAUACUUUCUAGUUAACUCUAUGCCUGAUUUCUCCAACUGAGUUUCUGUUUGCAAAAUUUCUACAAAGUCUACACCCACUCCUAACACUGAACUAGCUCAGAAAGACAGCUUAUUUGCCUUUGUCUUGAGUAUGGUUAGUAGCACAAGUUUUCAAUUCCUGUUGAAUCAUUAGCAUUUGUACAUAACCAAGCCCUCUCCAGAGCCUUGCCCUUGAUACCCUGUCUUUGAAGGUUUUGCAUUGUGUUUUCUAUAAGGUUUAAAUGAAAUGUUUACUUUUAUAGCACAUUACAACUGAAGAGGACUUAAGAGUUGUAACAUUAAAUUUCAGCUACUUACAAAAGACCUAAAGAACAGUAUCACUAACUGACAAUUAAUAUGUGAUUUAAAAAAAUGAAAGAGUUUGAGGUCAACCCCACACUUUCCUGUUCCUUAUACUAAAUUAUGGAGAUUUUGUUGAGAACUUUCUAAGAGCCCCAGACAACUCAUGGGCUAUAGCCAAAGGUUCAUUUGGAUAAGCUUUAAUAUUUAGAAAAUACCAGGCUUGAAAUGUUUCCAACCUGGAGUAUAUAUUGUCUAGACAUAAAAAAUAUUUUUGUCAGUCUUUCUUAGUGCCUAUGUGGACUUUUUGUGAAAAUGUUUAAAAAAGGAUAAUUAUAUAAUAUUUCCCUUGGAAUUUUAAGCUAUAUUUUCUUUACAGGUAUUUAUAAUGUACCAAUGCUUUUAUCAAACAGAAUUUUAAAAGGCAUAAUAAAUUAUAUUAAAGAACC
RNAcentral lists this long non-coding RNA (2236 nucleotides) under Mus musculus (house mouse). RNAcentral's name for it is "long non-coding RNA chr13:75132621-75134857". The record is from RNAcentral. Lineage: Eukaryota; Metazoa; Chordata; Mammalia; Rodentia; Muridae.